ACGACCCGUAUACUUGCGGAUACUCACACCAAUUGUCAGAAACACUAGACUGGGUAACCUUAGUGUGAUUCUUUUGACUAUUGACAACAGUUUAUUCCAGUGAACUAAAAAUGUAUGUUUUGCUGCUAAAAAUGUAUGUUUUGCUGGAUAAAAUGUAAGCUAUGAAAUGCAUUUACAUUAGAAAAUGCCACAGAAUGAUGCAAAUACAGUAUAACUUACAAGACUACCUUAAGUAAUUUGAUCAUGCUUAACACAACAAGUUCAAUUAUAAAUACAAACUUUGCAAGUUUUCACUUUCAUUACAAUGAAAUAACAAAAUUUAUGUUUUUAGGCGCAAAAAUAUUUAUUAUCAUGGUUAAAAUAAAAGAUAACUAAGCGGGACAAGUAGUCUUAUGGAAAUCAGAGGAUCAAGUGUUCAAAAUAAUGAAUGCCAUUUGGAUAGUUGUGAAUUUGAAAUAAAGAUGUAUUUGACAUUGGUUCUAUCAUAAAUAACAAGUGGAAAAAUCACAAUUUCCGACAUUCAUGCCAAAUUUAAACACCCCUUCAUUCCAAAUCUUCAUUUAUCCAAAUGGACCUUGAACAUAGAGAUAAAAUUCAACUAGGAAAUAUAGUAGUGAAGGUAAGGGGAUGCUGAUAUUCAAUUUAACAGAGUUGAGAAAAGGAUACUAAAUAAAGGCAACAACCAUUUGCAGUUUCUGCAGCAACAUGACCUAAGCAUGUAAUAACACAUAAAGUAACCCCGAGGCCAAGGAAAGUAUAAAUAAACCAGGGAGCCAGACGAUCAGAAUCAUCAAAUGGUAAGUCACCCAUUUCCUUUUGCCAGACCCUAAUGAGCCAAACUGCAUACAAUAUCAUCCCCAACCCAACCAUUCCCAUGACAGAAUUCAGCAACUUCAGUACGGAUUGUACACAACUCCUCAUCACUCUCCCCAUUUCUUAUGAAGCUAAAGCAAAAAAAGAAUGCUUCUUUGAUGGUUUAGCCCCCCGGAUGUUAAAAGAUUUUCGUGUUUCGGGUACCGAUUAGCUGGAUUCACCGUACCCAAGCUGGAUUCUUCUAUAAUUUUAAACAGUGGCUGUUUCUGUUUCAUUAAAAUCCAAAAAUAA
Molecule: unclassified non-coding RNA, 1104 nt
Filed under: Hevea brasiliensis (rubber tree)
Lineage: Eukaryota; Viridiplantae; Streptophyta; Magnoliopsida; Malpighiales; Euphorbiaceae
Source: RNAcentral